GAGGCAGCAGUAGGGAAUCUUCCGCAAUGGACGAAAGUCUGACGGAGCAAUGCCGCGUGAGUGAAGAAGGUUUUCGGAUCGUAAAACUCUGUUGUUAGAGAAGAACAAGGAUGAGAGUAACUGCUCAUCCCCUGACGGUAUCUAACCAGAAAGCCACGGCUAACUACGUGCCAGCAGCCGCGGUAAUACGUAGGUGGCAAGCGUUGUCCGGAUUUAUUGGGCGUAAAGCGAGCGCAGGCGGUUCUUUAAGUCUGAUGUGAAAGCCCCCGGCUCAACCGGGGAGGGUCAUUGGAAACUGGAGAACUUGAGUGCAGAAGAGGAGAGUGGAAUUCCACGUGUAGCGGUGAAAUGCGUAGAUAUGUGGAGGAACACCAGUGGCGAAGGCGACUCUCUGGUCUGUAACUGACGCUGAGGCUCGAAAGCGUGGGGAGCAAACAGGAUUAGAUACCCUGGUAGUCCACGCCGUAAACGAUGAGUGCUAAGUGUUGGAGGGUUUCCGCCCUUCAGUGCUGCAGCUAACGCAUUAAGCACUCCGCCUGGGGA
RNAcentral lists this ribosomal RNA (543 nucleotides) under uncultured bacterium. RNAcentral describes it as "bacterial SSU rRNA". It matches the Rfam family "Bacterial small subunit ribosomal RNA", at positions 345 to 879 of the family's 1533-position model. The record is from RNAcentral.